GCCAAGAUGACGCCGCUGCUGUCCAGCCUGGGCGACAGAGUGAGACUGUUUAAAAAAAAAAAAAACACACAAAAGAUAAUUGUUAAUUGUAGCUAGUUUGUUAGUUUGUUUCCUAUUUCAAUAUCCACCCCCCCGCCCCCCCGCCUUUUUUUCCCUGUGUUUUUCUGUACCAUAUAUUCAGGUAAAUGACCUCCGAAAAGAAUUAGAAAGUCGAGCUCUUAGUUCCAAAGGAUUAAAAUCCCAGUUAAUAGCCCGAUUGACAAAACAGCUUAAAGUAGAGGAACAAAAAGAAGAACAGAAGGAGUUAGAGAAAUCUGAAAAAGAAGAGGAUGAGGAUGAUGAUAGGAAAUCUGAAGACGAUAAAGAGGAAGAAGAAAGGAAACGUCAAGAGGAAAUAGAACGCCAGCGUCGAGAAAGAAGAUAUAUUUUGCCUGAUGAACCGGCCAUCAUUGUACAUCCAAAUUGGGCUGCAAAAAGUGGCAAGUUUGAUUGUAGCAUCAUGUCUUUGAGUGUCCUAUUGGACUACAGAUUAGAGGAUAAUAAAGAACAUUCAUUUGAGGUUUCAUUGUUUGCGGAACUUUUCAAUGAAAUGCUUCAAAGAGAUUUUGGUGUCCGUAUAUACAAAUCAUUACUGUCUCUUCCUGAGAAAGAGGACAAAAAAGAAAAGGAUAAAAAAAGCAAAAAA
RNAcentral lists this small RNA (685 nucleotides) under Pongo abelii (Sumatran orangutan). RNAcentral's name for it is "retained intron". The record is from RNAcentral. Lineage: Eukaryota; Metazoa; Chordata; Mammalia; Primates; Hominidae.